Molecule: long non-coding RNA, 256 nt
Filed under: Nicotiana benthamiana
Lineage: Eukaryota; Viridiplantae; Streptophyta; Magnoliopsida; Solanales; Solanaceae
Description: long non-coding RNA (NBEN_LNC027153)
Source: RNAcentral
GGGGCUGCUUCCGGCCAGUUUUUGGCUUCGCUCCAGAAGGACAGUUUGGUCGGCCUUAAUUUCCGACCCUACCCAUCCUUGUUCCGUUCGAUUCCAACAACUUUCAGUUUUUCUGGCGACUUUUCCGGCAGCUACAGAGAGACUUUCCGGCCAGAAUUUCAAAAAUUUUCUUCAGGACAGUAUCAUCACCCUCGAAUUCAGAGCCUACUCAUGUUUUUACUUUUCAAUUCCGACAACUUUGAAGUUUUUCCGGCAU